CCUACGGGUGGCAGCAGUGGGGAAUAUUGCGCAAUGGGCGAAAGCCUGACGCAGCGACGCCGCGUGAGGGAUGAAGGUCUUCGGAUCGUAAACCUCUGUCAGCAGGGACGAACGGUCACUGUGCUAAUCAGCAGUGAAUUGACGGUACCUGCAAAGGAAGCACCGGCUAACUCCGUGCCAGCAGCCGCGGUAAUACGGAGGGUGCGAGCGUUAAUCGGAAUUACUGGGCGUAAAGCGCUCGUAGGCGGUAUGUCAAGUCAAGGGUGAAAUCCCCGGGCUCAACGUGGGAACUGCCUUUGAAACUGGCAAACUGGAGUGUGUGAGAGGAUAGUGGAAUUCCAGGUGUAGGAGUGAAAUGCGUAGAUAUCUGGAGGAACAGCAGUGGCGAAGGCGACUAUCUGGCACAUAACUGACGCUGAGGAGCGAAAGCGUGGGUAGCAAACAGGAUUAGAUACCCCAGUAGUC
Molecule: ribosomal RNA, 465 nt
Filed under: uncultured bacterium
Lineage: Bacteria
Description: partial 16S ribosomal RNA
Rfam family: Bacterial small subunit ribosomal RNA
Source: RNAcentral